Molecule: ribosomal RNA, 543 nt
Filed under: uncultured Bacillota bacterium
Lineage: Bacteria; Bacillati; Bacillota
Description: bacterial SSU rRNA
Rfam family: Bacterial small subunit ribosomal RNA
Source: RNAcentral
AGGGUUUGAUCAUGGCUCAGGAUGAACGCUGGCGGCGUGCCUAAUACAUGCAAGUCGAACGCACGACAUUGGGAGCUUGCUUCUAAUGAAGUGAGUGGCGAACGGGUGAGUAAUACAUAAAUAAUCUGCCCUAAUGACUGGGAUAACUUCUGGAAACGGAAGCUAAUACUGGAUGUAAUAUGAUUUGGUAGCAAUUGAUAUGAAAAGGAUGGGCAAUACGACCAUCGCAUUAGGAUGAGUUUAUGGUGCAUUAGCUAAUUGGUGGGGUAAGGGCCUACCAAGGCGAUGAUGCAUAGCCGACCUGAGAGGGUGACCGGCCACACUGGGACUGAGACACGGCCCAGACUCCUACGGGAGGCAGCAGUAGGGAAUUUUCGGCAAUGGAGGGAACUCUGACCGAGCGACGCCGCGUGAGUGAAGACGGCCUUCGGGUUGUAAAGCUCUGUUAUCAGGGAAGAAUGCUCAUGACAGGAAAUGGUCAUGGGGUGACGGUACCUGAUCAGAAAGUCACGGCUAACUACGUGCCAGCCGCCGCGGUAAUUC